CAGCUAGUUGGUGAGGUAAUGGCUCACCAAGGCUAUGAUCGUUAGCUGGUCUGAGAGGAUGGCCAGCCACACUGGAACUGAGACACGGUCCAGACUCCUACGGGAGGCAGCAGUGGGGAAUCUUGCACAAUGGGCGAAAGCCUGAUGCAGCGACGCCGCGUGGGGGAUGAAGCUUCUCGGAGUGUAAACCCCUUUCGACCGGGACGAAUACCUCGCAAGAGGGGUGACGGUACCGGUAUAAGAAGCCCCGGCUAACUACGUGCCAGCAGCCGCGGUAAGACGUAGGGGGCCAGCGUUGCUCGGAAUUACUGGGUGUAAAGGGUUCGUAGGCGGUGUGGCAAGUCGGGAGUGAAAUCCCUGGGCUUAACCCAGGGGCUGCUUCUGAAACUGCCGUGCUAGAGUGUGGGAGAGGCGCGUGGAAUUGCAGGUGUAGCGGUGAAAUGCGUAGAUAUCUGCAGGAACACCCGUGGCGAAAGCGGCGCGCUGGAUCACUACUGACGCUGAGGAACGAAAGCUAGGGGAGCAAACA
RNAcentral lists this ribosomal RNA (529 nucleotides) under uncultured Acidobacteriota bacterium. Its description in RNAcentral is "SSU rRNA". It matches the Rfam family "Bacterial small subunit ribosomal RNA", at positions 242 to 774 of the family's 1533-position model. The record is from RNAcentral. Lineage: Bacteria; Pseudomonadati; Acidobacteriota.